Molecule: ribosomal RNA, 793 nt
Filed under: Oculimacula yallundae
Lineage: Eukaryota; Fungi; Ascomycota; Leotiomycetes; Helotiales; Ploettnerulaceae
Description: partial large subunit ribosomal RNA
Rfam family: Eukaryotic large subunit ribosomal RNA
Source: RNAcentral
GAAGCGGUAACAGCUCAAAUUUGAAAGCUAGCUCUUUUAGGGUUCGCAUUGUAAUUUGUAGAAGAUGCUUCGGGUGUGGCCCCGGUCUAAGUUCCUUGGAACAGGACGUCAUAGAGGGUGAGAAUCCCGUAUGUGACUGGGUGCUUUCGCUCAUGUGAAGCUCUUUCGACGAGUCGAGUUGUUUGGGAAUGCAGCUCAAAAUGGGUGGUAAAUUUCAUCUAAAGCUAAAUAUUGGCCAGAGACCGAUAGCGCACAAGUAGAGUGAUCGAAAGAUGAAAAGCACUUUGGAAAGAGAGUUAAACAGUACGUGAAAUUGUUGAAAGGGAAGCGCUUGCAACCAGACUUGCGCGCUGAUGAUCAUCCGGGCUUCUGUCCGGUGCACUCGUCUGCGCUCAGGCCAGCAUCGGUUUCGGUGGUGGGAUAAAGGCCUUGGGAAUGUAGCUCCUCUCGGGGAGUGUUAUAGCCCUCGGUGCAAUGCCGCCUAUCGGGACCGAGGACCGCGCUUCGGCUAGGAUGCUGGCGUAAUGGUUGUAAGCGACCCGUCUUGAAACACGGACCAAGGAGUCUAACAUCUAUGCGAGUGUUUGGGUGUCAAACCCAUACGCGUAAUGAAAGUGAACGGAGGUGAGAACCCUUAAGGGUGCAUCAUCGACCGGUCCUGAUGUCUUCGGAUGGAUCUGAGUAAGAGCAUAGCUGUUGGGACCCGAAAGAUGGUGAACUAUGCGUGAAUAGGGUGAAGCCAGAGGAAACUCUGGUGGAGGCUCGCAGCGGUUCUGACGUGCAAAUCGAUCGU